UACGGAGAGUGCGAACGUUGUUCGGAUUCACUGGGCGUAAAGGGCACGUAGGCGGCUCGGCAAAUCGGUCGUGGAAUCCCGGCGCUUACCGUCGGAACGGCGGCCGAAAAUACCGAGCUAGAGGGCGUGAGGGGUCACUGGAACUCCUGGUGAAGCGGUGAAAUGCGUAGAUAUCAGGAGGAACGCCGGAGGCGAAAGCGAGUGACUGGCGCGUUCCUGACGCUGAGGUGCGAAAGCUAGGGGAGCAAACAGG
RNAcentral lists this ribosomal RNA (253 nucleotides) under uncultured bacterium. Its description in RNAcentral is "partial 16S ribosomal RNA". It matches the Rfam family "Bacterial small subunit ribosomal RNA", at positions 524 to 776 of the family's 1533-position model. The record is from RNAcentral.